UGAAGUUUUCGGAUGGAUUUAGAACAGCUUAGUGGCGGACGGGUGAGUAACGCGUGGGUAACCUGCCCUGGAGUGGGGGAUAACAGUUAGAAAUAGCUGCUAAUACCGCAUAAGCGCACAGUUCCGCAUGGAACAGUGUGAAAAACUCCGGUGGUGUGAGAUGGACCCGCGUCUGAUUAGCCAGUUGGCAGGGUAACGGCCUACCAAAGCGACGAUCAGUAGCCGACCUGAGAGGGUGACCGGCCACAUUGGGACUGAGACACGGCCCAGACUCC
This 275-nucleotide ribosomal RNA is filed under the name uncultured Eubacteriales bacterium. RNAcentral describes it as "uncultured Clostridiales bacterium partial 16S ribosomal RNA". It matches the Rfam family "Bacterial small subunit ribosomal RNA", at positions 67 to 339 of the family's 1533-position model. Lineage: Bacteria; Bacillati; Bacillota; Clostridia; Eubacteriales. The record is from RNAcentral.